This is a long non-coding RNA of Callithrix jacchus (white-tufted-ear marmoset), 911 nucleotides long. RefSeq lists it as uncharacterized. The record is from RefSeq and is a predicted model, not a curated record. Lineage: Eukaryota; Metazoa; Chordata; Mammalia; Primates; Cebidae.
GUUUCCUGGGGAUAAAGGACAGACACAAAAACAACUCCUGGUGAGUGUACACCACAGAAGUUCCUGUUCAACAAAAGGGAUGUGAAAUGAGCUUUACUUGGCUUGAAUUCUCAGAGGAUGCCUCUCCUUUUCAGGGGGGAUAUUUCUGAAGACAUCUUUUAAUAGAAGAGGAAUACUGGUCAGAGGGCCGUGCUGAAGUUUGCUGCUGCCACUGGAGCCACUCCAAUUACUAGCCGCUUUACUCCUGGAACCUUCAUCAACCAGAUCCAGGCAGCCUUCCGGGAGCCAUGGCUGCUUGUGAUUACCGACCCAAGGGCUGACCACCAGCCUCUCUCAGAGGCGUCUUAUGUUAACCUACCUACCAUUGCUCUGUGUAACAGAGAUUCUCCUCUGCGCUAUGUGGACAUUGCCAUCCCAUGCAACAACAAGGGAGCUCACUCAGUGGGUUUGAUGUUGUGGAUGCUGGCUCAGGCAGUUUCGCGCAUGCGUGGCACCAUUUCCGUGAACACCCGUGGGAGGUCAUGCCUGAUCUCUACUUCUACAGAGAUCCUGAAGAGAUUGAAAAAGAAGAGCAGACUGCUGCUGAAAAGGCUGUGACCAAGGAGGAAUUUCAGGGCGAAUGGACUGCUCUGGCUCCUGAGUUCACUGCUACUCAGCCUGAGGUUGCUGACUGGUCUGAAGGCAUACAGGUGCCCUCUGUGCCUAUCCAGCAGUUCCCUACUGAAGACUGGAGUGCCCAGCCUGCCACAGAGGGCUAGUCUGCAGCUCCCACUGCUCAGGCCACUGAAUGGUCUUAAGCUGUUCUUGUGUAGCCUCUUACACAACAUAUAAGAUUCAUGGAAAAUAAACAUCGAAUUUCUAAAAAAUAAAAUAAAAUAAAAAUAAAAAUAAAACACUUCGUUCUUCCUUUA